RNAcentral lists this ribosomal RNA (437 nucleotides) under uncultured bacterium. RNAcentral's name for it is "partial 16S ribosomal RNA". It matches the Rfam family "Bacterial small subunit ribosomal RNA", at positions 29 to 507 of the family's 1533-position model. The record is from RNAcentral.
AGCGAACGCUGGCGGCAGGCUUAACACAUGCAAGUCGAGCGGGCAUCCUUGUGGUGUCAGCGGCAGACGGGUGAGUAACGCGUGGGAACGUGCCCUUCGGUUCGGAAUAACUCAGGGAAACUUGAGCUAAUACCGGAUACGUGCGAGAGCAGAAAGGUUUAUCUGCCGAAGGAUCGGCCCGCGUCUGAUUAGCUAGUUGGUGAGGUUAUGGCUCACCAAGGCGACGAUCAGUAGCUGGUCUGAGAGGAUGAUCAGCCACACUGGGACUGAGACACGGCCCAGAAUCCUACGGGAGGCAGCAGUGGGGAAUAUUGGACAAUGGGGGCAACCCUGAUCCAGCCAUGCCGCGUGAGUGAUGACGGCCUUAGGGUUGUAAAGCUCUUUUCUUCGGGACGAUAAUGACGGUACCGGAGGAAUAAGCCCCGGCUAACUUCGUG